This 98-nucleotide signal recognition particle RNA is filed under the name Opitutia bacterium AMD-G3. Its description in RNAcentral is "Opitutae bacterium AMD-G3 signal recognition particle sRNA small type". It matches the Rfam family "Bacterial small signal recognition particle RNA". Rfam says of the family: The signal recognition particle (SRP) is a universally conserved ribonucleoprotein involved in the co-translational targeting of proteins to membranes. Lineage: Bacteria; Pseudomonadati; Verrucomicrobiota; Opitutia. RNAcentral also lists the same sequence under 2 other names. The record is from RNAcentral.
AGCUAGGCCCCAUGCAACGGGUGCCGACGAACCCCGCCAGGUCCGGAAGGAAGCAACGGCAGUCUGGUUCCCCGUGUGCCGUGGUCAGCCUAGCCCCU